RNAcentral lists this long non-coding RNA (1049 nucleotides) under Malus domestica (apple). RNAcentral's name for it is "long non-coding RNA (MDOM_LNC004858)". Lineage: Eukaryota; Viridiplantae; Streptophyta; Magnoliopsida; Rosales; Rosaceae. The record is from RNAcentral.
UGACUUCUAGGGCGAGUCUGUCGGAAUACCUCAGAGUCUCAUGUACCUUCAUGUUCCUCUGGGACUUGUCAUUCCUUCCCUAGAUUGGCAGCUGGCCUAGGUCGUGGGAGGGGACCGAGUCUUUCAGAAACCCUUGGGUCAUUGAUCUUCGAGCAUAUGUGGAGGGGAUUCUUUCGACGUUGCUUUAGGAAGUCUCGGCAGUCACGAUAAACGGCUUUCGAUCAUUCCAACCCUUCUGCAAAGAGGUGUCUUUCUCCUGCUUCGGGUCGAAGCAGCUGGGUUGAGAGAAGUCUCGCGUUGAUCAAUGUUUUGAUGAUUAUCUCGCUCCUCGUCAGGGAUACCUAUCUCGAAGAAAGGUAACCCUCCGUGUUGGGGGGCACCCAGAUGAUGGUUGAUAUCCACAGGGGCAACAAGCUCGCAUGUUUGAGUAUGCCUAGUUUCGUGGAACGUCUCAAAGAGCUUCUCAUACUGCUCGGGAGGACCUCAUUGCUAUCUUGUUGUUCUGAGCUUCUAGCUCAUCGGCUUUAGCUUGAAGAGCAACCCUUUUUCCUUCAUUCUUUCGUUUCUUCGCACUAUGUGUAAGAGGGGUGUCAUUCUGUGUGCUGUGGCUUCCUUCGCUCCCCAUGUUGGAGAGGGAUGCCUGGUCAAAAAAGAGUGUACGAAUGGUGGAAACCAGCUUGACAAAGCUGAAGAAAGUGGGAAUAAGUGUCGUUCCCACAGACGACGUCAAAUGUUGAUGCACAAAAUCAGUGAGGACUUUGGUACAACAAAAAGUGUUAAGUUUGUGACCUUCACUAGAUUGCUCCGGUCACUAGUGUGGAUAAGUAUGUAAAUGGAUAGGGACAGGGAAGCAAAGACAAGAUGUACGUGGUUCACCCAGAUUGGCUACGUCCACGGAGUAGAGGAGUUCUCAUUAAUUGUGAAGGGUUUACACAAAUACAUAGGUUCAAGCUCUCCUUUAGUGAGUACAAGUGAAUAAUUUAGUACAAAUGACAUUAGGAAAUAUUGUGAGAGAAUGAUCUCUAUUUAUAGAAGAGAGUUUCUAGUUU